AUUCCUGUUGCUGGUAGCUUUCACAAACCAUUACGAAACAUCUUUCGAUGCAAACAUCUUUCGAUGCAUCUUUUCGAGCAAAACUGCAUGUGGCAGGGGGGUUGGAGAUUCAUGAUCCUUGAGGUCCCUUCCAACCCUGGCAAUUCUGUGAUUCUGUGAUCUUGAACUCUCUCACCCUUCUUUAGGACCUAUGGAGCCACUGUCCCCUCUUAACAGACCAACUGAUUAGGGCAGGGCUGAGUUUGCCAUCUUCUCUGACAUCAAAGCACUGAGAUAUCAAAGGGACAUAAGUACCUACAGACACAAAGACAACUUUGGAAGAGGCCUCCUUAUUUAGCACUCUUUGUUAACAAGGAAAACCCGUGUGAGUUGUGAACCUGCUAACCCAGAAUUUUUCUCCAGAGAUGAUGACCAGGUUCUAUGAAGAGAUGAUGAGUCAUUACUUUGAAUGCUUACAUCAUUCCACCUGCCUAUCCAGAGGGACACAGAGAUGUAUGACACCCUGCAACGAUCUUGGCUGUCCUUAUGUUAGAAGAUGUGAAACUUCAGUGAGUGGUGCGAUAGCAGGUUGGACCACUCCCAGUGGGACAAUAUUCCCUUUCGAGCAUGGGAGAAAAUUGCAGUCACGCAACUUUCUGCAACUCAAUAGUGACCAAUUAGGAAGAUACCCAGCUCCCCCAAGCCUGGAUAUCUAAUAAACCAUGACCUGAAAAGUGUCCUUUGCCACAGCAGAUCUUCAGCAGCACUCCUCUUUGUCCAGACUUCUAUUCCAGAUUAUGGGAGAUGGAAAGUCUUUCCAAUGGCCAACAUCAUAAAAGGUUUCUCAGCAGGAUGCACAGCAUUCACUUGGAAGCCUCAUUCCAUUAAUUCUCUUUUCACUAAAAUUAGUUAGAAAGAAGCCAACAAGCUAUCAGAGUGACUUUAAAGGCAACAAACGGUGUUAGUAAUGAGGCAAACAAAUGUCCUUGAAGCGUCUCUCAUCUGCUUGUACCUUACUGUGGCUUUAGCAGAAGUCAUUGUGGUUUUAAUUAACACCUUUCCCUGUGCAAAGUUACCACAUUUUUCUCAAAGACAGCUUUUCCCGAGUGACACUCAAAUAAGAGUUUCUGGAUUUUAUUAUGCCUUCAGAGCCUCAGUUAAUCCAGGGUUUCUUCCAUUUACUUGAGCAGCAAGCUAUUAACACAGAACCCCUCUGAGCAGCGUGCCUGGCCAUAGCCCUUAUCAUGUCAAUGCAUCCCAGAUGUGUCUUGAGCACUGGGCUUCCCAGGAGAUGACCACACUUACAAGCAUCAUCCAGUUGGCUUGCUGGAUCUGUGCCCUGCAUCCUCCUAAAGUGCCAGCAGCACAGAAGGGAAUUUCUCCUCUGGAUGUCCUAGAGAAAUUUGGAUAAGUGCAUGAAGUUUGCAACAAAUAGGAAAGAUUUCAGUCUUUUGGAAAACGAGAGUGUGCUGUAAGAUAGAGGUGCUGGGGCAUCCUUGGUUGAACUGUGAGGGCUUUUCCUUUAAAACAAAUCCUCUGUUUAUCUGCCAUUUCUUUAAUAAUUCUCCAGAGGGGAUUAGACCCUUUGAUCUUGGUCUUGCUGUCACCUGGGAGCUGGCUUACCCCUUAUCCAUUUUGGUCUGUGCUGUGGCUUUGCUGUGAAAUUCAUGCUGCCUCCCUGCCCUGUAUUUUGGUGUGGUACGAAGGGCAGAUCCUUCAACACUCCAUCACAGAAAAGAUGCAGAGAUUUUAGUGAAGAUCCAGAGGAGGCCAUGAAGAUGAUCAGAGGACUGGAAUACCUCUCCUAUGAAGACAGGUUGAGUCUUGUAUAGCUUGGAGAAGAAAAGGCUCUGAGGAGACCUCAUUAAGGUCUUCCAAUAAGUAAAUGGAGCUUACACACAGGGGGGAAAUAAACAUUUUUAAACAGGGAAAUAGUGAUAGGAC
Molecule: long non-coding RNA, 1923 nt
Filed under: Phasianus colchicus (ring-necked pheasant)
Lineage: Eukaryota; Metazoa; Chordata; Aves; Galliformes; Phasianidae
Description: lncRNA (ENSPCLG00000004522.1)
Source: RNAcentral